CUGUCAGGUGCGGCGACAAUUCUAGGUGCAAUCUGGAAAUAUUCAUGUAGCGACAUUGGUACCAAAACAUGACAAAAAUUAAGGAUAAAUAAGUAUCGCCAGGCUCACUUAAAGAUCCCAUAAAGUCAGAGAUAUCGAUCACACUAUCAGCCGCAGUGCUCGAUAUAGUUUGAUUUAUAUUUUUGAAGGUGGCAUGUAUAAGGCUAGACUAGGAUGUCAUAUUAAGAGAAUUAUUAAUGUAUUUUUGGCUUAAGUCAAAGGCCCUUCAAUUUGUAUUAAGCCUAGAAUAAUGGUUAUUAUUCAUUUUGAUGAAUGCAUAUAAUGUUCUUUCUAUGGAUGAA
Gossypium arboreum is the source of this 341-nucleotide long non-coding RNA. RefSeq lists it as uncharacterized. The transcript has 2 exons. NCBI's taxonomy places the organism in Eukaryota, Viridiplantae, Streptophyta, Magnoliopsida, Malvales, Malvaceae. The record is from RefSeq and is a predicted model, not a curated record.